Molecule: ribosomal RNA, 492 nt
Filed under: uncultured bacterium
Lineage: Bacteria
Description: partial 16S ribosomal RNA
Rfam family: Bacterial small subunit ribosomal RNA
Source: RNAcentral
AGUGAACGCUGGCGGUAGGCCUAACACAUGCGAGUCGAACGGCAGCACAGUAAGAGCUUGCUCUUACGGGUGGCGAGUGGCGGACGGGUGAGGAAUACAUCGGAAUCUACUUUUUCGUGGGGGAUAACGUAGGGAAACUUACGCUAAUACCGCAUACGACCUACGGGUGAAAGCAGGGGAUCUUCGGACCUUGCGCGAUUGAAUGAGCCGAUGUCGGAUUAGCUAGUUGGCGGGGUAAAGGCCCACCAAGGCGACGAUCCGUAGCUGGUCUGAGAGGAUGAUCAGCCACACUGGAACUGAGACACGGUCCAGACUCCUACGGGAGGCAGCAGUGGGGAAUAUUGGACAAUGGGCGCAAGCCUGAUCCAGCCAUGCCGCGUGGGUGAAGAAGGCCUUCGGGUUGUAAAGCCCUUUUGUUUGGAAAGAAGAGCAGCAGGUUAAUACCUCGCUGUUCUGACGGUACCCAAAGAAUAAGCACCGGCUAACUUCGUG